RNAcentral lists this ribosomal RNA (320 nucleotides) under uncultured eukaryote. Its description in RNAcentral is "partial 18S ribosomal RNA". It matches the Rfam family "Eukaryotic small subunit ribosomal RNA", at positions 1470 to 1796 of the family's 1831-position model. The record is from RNAcentral.
CCCCUAGAUGUUCUGGGCCGCACGCGCGCUACACUGAACAGUUCAACAAGUCUUAACCUUGGCCGAUAGGUCUGGGUAAUCUUUGAACGCUGUUCGUGAUUGGGAUAGACCUUUGCAAUUAUGGGUCUUCAACGAGGAAUUCCUAGUAAACGCAAGUCAUCAGCUUGCAUUGAUUACGUCCCUGCCCUUUGUACACACCGCCCGUCGCACCUACCGAUUGAAUGGUCCGGUGAAAUCUCGGGACGGCGGCUCGGUCGCUUGCGUCCGACUGCUGAAACUUGAUUAAACCUUACCAUUUAGAGGAAGGUGAAGUCGUAACA